UUUCCCUAAUCUCUUCAGCUCACAACUACGUACACCUAAUGGAAAAUGAAACGUCCCUGCUUCCCUAGCUAAUCUCAACGAUUCUCUACCCCUUGAAUGGAUAGAUGUUUAUUCUUCUUUGUGUUGUUGUUGUCUUCCCUAAUCUCAAGGAGAUAUUGAUAAAGGUGUCUUUUUAUUCCUCACGUUGUUGCUGCUCGAUCUGUUAGAAAUGGAGCAUUGAAGCUUUAGUUGAGAAAAUAUUCAGCUCAGCAAAGAGUUCAAGAAAGGUUGUGCAUUUGAUGGGUGGUCCGAAGGUACUUUAAACUUUCCGCUGACUUAUAAGUAUGAAGUAAACUCAGAAAAGUAUUGUGGAGAGGAUCCAAAGUCCGGGAGACCUAAUCCAGCAUGGUAUGUAGCUACUAUUAUUGUUAGUUAUAGAGCUUUAGUGGAUGUUCACUGUUUAGUCUUUGUUUGUAUAGCCUAAUAUCUUAAAAGUUUGGCUUGAUUCUAAUCUAUGAUGCGUACAUCAAAUCAAUAGAUUCUAAUCUAUUGAUAAAGUUCUAUUCUUCUUCCUCACGUUGUUGCUGCUCGAUCUGGUAGAAAUAGAAUCCAGCAAAGCUUUGCUCGAGAAAAAAUUCCAGGUGUGUUCUUUCUUCUAAUCAAGUUGUUGUUGUGCUGUUCAAAAUAGAAUCCCACACCGCUUUGCUUGGGACAAUAUUGCAGGUGAGUUAAUCUUCGAGUAAUGACUUGUAAUAUGACAACUCGUCUUAUUGGUUACAAAUAACUACUAGAAACUCCAAGAAUAAAAAUACAGAUGUGAAAGACUGAUUUUGUUGUUGUGGAAAUAUAGGUUGAAGUAGGACUAUUGAGAACCUGUUGUUGAUUGUCCUGCAGAUUUGUCUUAGUAGUUUCAUCAAUCAAGCUAGGAUUCCUACCUUGUUUUUAUGGAAUGUUUCUUUUUGCAACCUGAAACUGCUGCAAUUCUCCAUUUUUUUAUUCUGAUCUUGCUCUGUCCUACACUUGAUGUGAAAAACUCAGAUGAAUUUGAAUUGAAAACUUAGAUAAGUUUGACAUGGCAUAAGGAUAAAAGAGUUGAUGAUAGCAUAAUGAGGCACUCAGCUGAUUCAAUAACAUGGAAGUCAUUUGAUGAACUUCAUCCUUCAUUUGCGGUUAAAACUCGAAAUUUUUUACUUGGAAUUUCUAGUGAUGGAUUUCAACCAUUCCAAAAUUCUAAAACCUCACAUAGCAUUUGGCCUGUGGUUCGUAUUCCUUAUAAUUUAGCACCUUGGUUGGGUAUGAAGCAAGAAAAUUUUAUUUUGGUCAAUGCUUAUUCCGUGUCCAAAUGGUCCCGGAGAUGCAAUUGAUGCAUAUCUCCAACCUUUUAUAGAGGAAUUGAAGGAGUUGUGGGCAAUUGGUAUUGAGACAUAUGAUACAUCAAGUAAGAAAAAUUUUCAGUUGCAUGCUUCUUUAUUAUGGACCAUUAAUGACUUUCCAGCAUAUGGAAAUUUAUCGGGAUGGAGUACAAAAGGAAAAUUAGCAUGUCCAUAUUGCAAUAAAGACGCUUCCUCAACUCGAUUAACUAAGGGUAAGAAGGAGUGUUUUAUGGGUCAUCGGCAUUACCUUUCCCAAAAUCAUAAUUGGCGAAGUGAUAAGAGAUCAUUUGAUGGUACAGUGGAGAAAAGGCCUCCACCAAAAGUGUGUUCCGGCGUUGAGAUUCUUAAUCAAGUGCAAGAUCUGGAAGGGUUACAAUUAUCAAAGGAUCAUAAGAAAAGAAAGAAGAUAUCACAUGAAAGUCGAAUGGAUAAUUGGAACAAGAAAAAUAUCUUUUUUGAACUUCCAUAUUGGAAGUGUCUCUUGUUGUGACAUAAUUUGGAUGUUAUGCAUAUUGAAAAAAACAUAUGUGAUCAUAUCAUGGGGACAAUUAUGAAUGUAAAAGGAAAGACCAAGGACACAAUUAGCACUCGAUUAGACUUGCAAGAUAUGGACAUUAGGCCAGAAUUACACCCUAUCCAAAAGGGGGUGAAAAUUGAAAUACCAAAAGCAUGCUACACAUUGUCUUCCGAAUAUAAGCACAAAUUAUGCCUUUUCUUAAAGAAUCUUAAGUUCCCUGAUGGUUUUUCAUCUAAUAUUUCUCAGUGUGUGAACUUGAAAGAUCACAAGAUAUCUGGAUUGGAAAGUCAUGAUUGUCAUGUUCUCUUGCAACAUCUAUUCCCUCUUUCACUUCGUGGUAUAUUGUCAAAAGAGGUCUGUGAACCUCUUAUUGAAUUGUCUAUAUUUUUUAGUGUGCUUGGAUCAAAAGAGUUGAGAAUUUAAAACUUUGAGGAAAUUGAAUCACAAAUACCCAUAAAACUUUGUAAGUUGGAAAAGGUCUUUCCUCCUUCAUUUUUAAUGUCAUGGUACACUUACCUAUUAAUUUAGCUACUGAAGCUAAGAUUGCUGGACCAAUACAUUAUCGGUGGAUGUAUAUUGUGGAGCGAUGGUUAUACUUUUUGAAAUUUCUCAUUGGCAUGUCCAGAAGGUUGUAUUGCAGAGGGCUUCAGUGCAAAUGAAUGUAUGACUUUAUUUUCAAGGUAUUUGCAUAGAGUUGACACAAGAUUCAAUUGUCCUGAACGAAAUUAUGAUGUCGGUUUAAAACAAUCGAAUGGUGGUUUAUCUAUUUUUAGUCAACCUUGAAAAACUCUAGGAGCUAAAGAUCCAUGUGAGCUUAAAACAUAUGAACAUGAACAAGCACAUAUAUACAUAUUGAAGAACUGUGAUGAAGUCUUACCAUAUCUCAAGUAUGGAGAUUUUUAUACCAUUUCACUUAUUUUAUUUCUUUUAGGUUAGUUACUAUUUAGUAGGAUAGUUAUGGUUAACUUUAAUUUUGUAGAGAGUUUGCACAAACUCACGAGAAUGCUCAGCACUUGUCUGAUGCUGAUUGGAGCAGACAGCUUAUUGAAUGGUUUAAAGAUCAGGUUCAAGAUGAAAUCACUGUAGACUGAAACAGAGGUUGAUUCUGAUAUGAAGAGUUAUAUCAGAUAUACAUUUGUUGCGCCUAGUGCUAUUGGAAAGGGACGGGGACGAGGGCUUAAAUAAUGGGGUGAGAAAGGAAGCUUGUCGUCUAUGAGUUUAUUGCCUCAAUCAAGCGAUCUAGUUAAGAAGUACAUCAAAGAAAUUGAAACAAGAGAAGAUUCAGAGUGUUAAUCAUCUUCAAUGAAAAUGGCUGAAUUCAUUGAUAUAUAAUUAUUUUUAGCUUCUUGGUCUCCUAAAUAUUGUGCUAAUGUAUAGGUUGUAUGAUUUAUUUUUUAAGGUUGUAUAUGGAAGUGCCAAGGACAUGGACUUAAAAACUCUACCACGUUCACUAGUCAAGGAACACGAAUGAUGCAUAAGAACCCCAUGACUCCUAAGAAAGAGAAUAUGCAAAUUAGUACCUCAUCUCCUGGUAUUGAUCAAGUUAAGAAAUACAACCAAGAAGUUGAAACAAGUAACAUUUUAAAAAAAAUGUUAAUGUUUUUUUACAAAUAUCUUUUGUUUCACUUUUUUUGAUAAACUUUUAUAUAUAUGAUGUUAAUUGAAUCCAGGUGCUAUAGGAAAGGGGCUAGAGAAAAGAACUAGAUCUUUGAGCUCCUCUUUGGAAAUUUCUGAAUAUGAGGUUGAAUCUUCUACAAGAGUGCUGAUUUUGAUAAUCAGCAUAUGAAAACUCCUCCUAAAUGCACAAAAUUGGGCUCUAACAUGUCUUCUAAUCAAGAAAUGCAAAAAAUGAAAAACAUACACAAAAUUGAGUUUGAUUGCUAUAGUUUUUAUCAAAAUAUGUUGGUAUAGGUUCAUCUAAUCCUACAAAGGUAAGAAGAAUUCAAGGAAGCAACAUGUGAAAACAAGUUGCUUCACUUGAAAUUUGAGAAAAGUUGAAACUUACCUUUUACAAUAAUCGAAUGGUUGGAACAAAUAACAAUCUAUUAUCAAGGCAUUUGGGAAAAAUUGUGCGUGAUCGUAAUAUUUGUCCCUUGGGGGUAUCAUCGUGACAUGAUAUAAAGCAAGAAAAGUUGAAUCACAUGUGGGCAUACAUUGAGGUAACAAACAUACACUUGAUGUAAAACUUUUGAAUCGAUUUUACAGUUUGCUCUGAUUUUGCAGUGUUACCUGCUACAUCAAUGUUCUUGUCCAUUUAUCACCUGCUGUACAACUUUUCAAUCCACUAUACACAUGAUUCUGAUUUAUAUCUUUCAUUAAUUGAUGUUUUAAAAGUAAUGUACACUUGUUCAUAUAGCAGGUUGUACAACUUAUGAUUCCUUUUUUGUUUUGAAAAUAAUAACUCAACUGUUGUUGCAAUUUUUGUAGCACAAAUUUGAGAGUGCUGAUACGAAUGAUCAUAUAUUUGGAUAGAUGAAUGAGUUAUGAAACAAAUGGAGAGGACACUUGCAUGUAAAAUAUGUGAAGGACAAGCCUAUCCAACAGUCUCUUAGGAAUGUCCCAAGAGGAGUAGACCAAAAAGAAUGGGAAUGGUUAGUAAAGGAACAGUUUGCUUCUGAAACUUUUCAGGCAAGAAGCACUAGAAAUGCAGCAAAUCGAGCAAAGUUGAUGAUGCUUCAUCAUAUUGGUAGCAAGCCUAUUAGAGAGAUUAUUUAUCAAAAGGUAUUAUCAUAAAAUUAGUUUUCUAAAUGAAAUAUUUAUGAGGUGUGUUAUUUGACGUAUUUGACUUUGAUGUAAAGGGCGGAAAAGAUAGAAAUCCACCAGAUUUGGCAACUAUUUUCUUUGAGACUCGUAAGAAAGAUGACAAGCUUGUUGAACAUGAAGCAAUUGAAAAACAUGUGCAUUCUGUAAAUUAAAUAUGUUAAUUACUUAAAUUUGUUAUAUGUUAUAAUAGAAAAUAUCUGCGCUACGUUCAACUCGAGAAGAUAUCACAUCUUUGAAUGAAGAGAACAAAUCCUUGAAUGAGGAAAACAAAACCUUGAACAAUCGUUUGUCUACAUUAGAAGAUGCGAUGAAAGAAGUAUUGAAAAUGAGAGAAGUCUUCAAGGCUCAUCAAUCACAUGUAGCAGCUACAACAUCGUCUUUCUCAACUGAAUGACCACUACAUUUUCAGCUAACCAGGUGGAGAUGAGUUGAGGAGAGAUUACGAGACAAGACGAGGUAAGAUUUUGGAUUCUUGGCUGAAGUAUCUCAAAGUUUUCUAAUAGGUUUUUUUAUUUCUUGGAGCUUCUGUUGAUGUUUUUGUAUAUCACUUGACAAAGGCUAUUUCUGCAAGACUUUUGUUCAUACUUUAGUGAAGAUGCAAGUUUAGCAGUUUCACUAACUUGUUAUUAGUAUUUUUCUAUUAAAAUUUUGCAAAACUUUGGAUGUUAUCCAAGUAUUUUUGUUACACGAAUAUAGCGAAACUAACUUCAUAGGAGGUUAACCAAUUUAUUGUAAUUAAUCUUACUAUUAUCUCUAUCUUCCUACCCUUUCACUC
This is a long non-coding RNA of Solanum lycopersicum (tomato), 5407 nucleotides long. RefSeq lists it as uncharacterized. The record is from RefSeq and is a predicted model, not a curated record. NCBI's taxonomy places the organism in Eukaryota, Viridiplantae, Streptophyta, Magnoliopsida, Solanales, Solanaceae.